This 30-nucleotide non-coding RNA is filed under the name Mus musculus (house mouse). Lineage: Eukaryota; Metazoa; Chordata; Mammalia; Rodentia; Muridae. RNAcentral also lists the same sequence under 1 other name. The record is from RNAcentral.
UAAAGGCCAGCUAUGCAAUAGGGAAGUCUA